AUUGAACGCUGGCGGCAUGCCUUACACAUGCAAGUCGAACGGCAGCACGGGUGCUUGCACCUGGUGGCGAGUGGCGAACGGGUGAGUAAUAUAUCGGAACGUACCUUAUUGUGGGGGAUAACGCAGCGAAAGCUGUGCUAAUACCGCAUAAUCCCUAAGGGGGAAAGCGGGGGACCGUAAGGCCUCGCGCAAUUAGAGCGGCCGAUACCUGAUUAGCUAGUUGGUGAGGUAAAGGCUCACCAAGGCAACGAGCAGUAGCUGGUCUGAGAGGACGAUCGGCCACACUGGGACUGAGACACGGCCCAGACUCCUACGGGAGGCAGCAGUGGGGAAUUUUGGACAAUGGGGGCAACCCUGAUCCAGCAAUGCCGCGUGAGUGAAGAAGGCCUUCGGGUUGUAAAGCUCUUUUGUCAGGGAAGAAACAGCAGCUCUAACACAGUUUGCGAAUGACGGUACCUGAAGAAUAAGCACCGGCUAACUACGUGCCAGCCGCCGCGGUAA
RNAcentral lists this ribosomal RNA (501 nucleotides) under uncultured bacterium. Its description in RNAcentral is "partial 16S ribosomal RNA". It matches the Rfam family "Bacterial small subunit ribosomal RNA", at positions 30 to 523 of the family's 1533-position model. The record is from RNAcentral.